This 245-nucleotide ribosomal RNA is filed under the name uncultured bacterium. Its description in RNAcentral is "partial 16S ribosomal RNA". It matches the Rfam family "Bacterial small subunit ribosomal RNA", at positions 524 to 768 of the family's 1533-position model. The record is from RNAcentral.
UACGUAGGGGGCGAGCGUUGCUCGGAAUUACUGGGCGUAAAGGGUGUGUAGGCGGCUGAGCAAGUCGUGGAUGAAAUCCCGAGGCUUAACCUCGGAAUGGUCCUCGAUACUGCUCAGCUUGAGGGCAGUGGAGGAGAAUGGAAUUCCCGGUGGAGCGGUGAAAUGCGUAGAUAUCGGGAGGAACACCUGAGGCGAAGGCGAUUCUCUAUGCUGUUCCUGACGCUGAGACACGAAAGCUAGGGGAG